This 517-nucleotide ribosomal RNA is filed under the name fungal endophyte. RNAcentral describes it as "eukaryotic LSU rRNA". The stretch from base 137 to 290 matches the Rfam family "5.8S ribosomal RNA". The record is from RNAcentral. Lineage: Eukaryota; Fungi.
ACUCCCAAACCCCUGUGACAUACCAAUUGUUGCCUCGGCGGAUCAGCCCGCUCCCGGUAAAACGGGACGGCCCGCCAGAGGACCCCUAAACUCUGUUUCUAUAUGUAACUUCUGAGUAAAACCAUAAAUAAAUCAAAACUUUCAACAACGGAUCUCUUGGUUCUGGCAUCGAUGAAGAACGCAGCAAAAUGCGAUAAGUAAUGUGAAUUGCAGAAUUCAGUGAAUCAUCGAAUCUUUGAACGCACAUUGCGCCCGCCAGUAUUCUGGCGGGCAUGCCUGUUCGAGCGUCAUUUCAACCCUCAAGCCCCCGGGUUUGGUGUUGGGGAUCGGCGAGCCCUUGCGGCAAGCCGGCCCCGAAAUCUAGUGGCGGUCUCGCUGCAGCUCCCAUUGCGUAGUAGUAAAACCCUCGCAACUGGUACGCGGCGCGGCCAAGCCGUUAAACCCCCAACUUCUGAAUGUUGACCUCGGAUCAGGUAGGAAUACCCGCUGAACUUAAGCAUAUCAAUAAGCGGAGGAA